This 232-nucleotide ribosomal RNA is filed under the name uncultured bacterium. RNAcentral's name for it is "partial 16S ribosomal RNA". It matches the Rfam family "Bacterial small subunit ribosomal RNA", at positions 99 to 334 of the family's 1533-position model. The record is from RNAcentral.
CGGACGGGUGAGUAAUGUAUAGGAACUUGCCUAAUAGUGGGGGACAACGUGUGGAAACGCACGCUAAUACCGCAUACGCUCUACGGAGGAAAGCGGGGGAUCUUCGGACCUCGUGCUACUAGAUGGGCCUAUAUUGGAUUAGCUAGUUGGUAAGGUAAAGGCUUACCAAGGCGACGAUCCAUAGCUGGUUUGAGAGAAUGAUCAGCCACACUGGGACUGAGACACGGCCCAG